GAUCGAGACGGUUGACUUUUCCAGGAUCUGCAAACUGACCCGCUCGAGAUUGUCGACUGUCGCCAGAAGAUACUCCCACUGGACCAUCCACAUCGACAACCAGGCCAUCGUUGCUCGUCUCGUCCUGAACAUAUUAAAGACUGGUUGGUACGCUAUAGUCGUCUGCGUUAUCGAGGAUCUGUUGAUGAUUAUUAAUCUGAUAUGAUGGAACACCACCACUGACUAGUGUGCUUUCAUUGGAAUUAGCUUGAACAAUGUCGCCAAUCUUGUCACCGUUAGCAUCAGACAGACAAGGCUUCUUUACAUCACUCUGAUAAAAAGUCAGAAAAAAAAUAAGAAUAAAAAGAUAGAAAUUAAGGAAAAAUAAGAAACAUUCCAUUAAUAAUGGGAAAAAUUGAGGAUGAAAAAGAAAAUAGCGGCACUAAGGGCGCCAGGCUUACCUUGACCGGAAGCGCGGUUAACUUCCUCUUCCGGUCUCUCUCCUUGUGGUAUAAGUUCGACUCAAGUCGGGUAUCCUCCGCGUGCUGCUUUCUUUCCUCGCUCCGUUGGCUGUCUGAAAUAUACGGACAGGCUUAUAUACGGGGACGUUCGUUACUUCUUUUCUUAUUAUUAUUCGUUAUUAGAGCAUUAGCAUAACCUAACGAGCAUAAUGUAAUUGCAUCCACGCUCUUUCCUUCCCCUAUCUUCUCUCUUUCCCUUUCUCUCUAUCUUAUUGUGUGCCAGCUUGCGUCCCGGUACGAGAAUACAACUGAAAUCGCGCUUCAGCAAGCAAAAAUGCAGUAUAGUAUUCUUUAUUUACAUUCAAACUUUCAUUCAGCAAGAUUAUAGAGUUGCUUGUUUUAUAAUA
Bombus impatiens (common eastern bumble bee) is the source of this 847-nucleotide long non-coding RNA. RefSeq lists it as uncharacterized. The record is from RefSeq and is a predicted model, not a curated record. The transcript is spliced from 2 exons. NCBI's taxonomy places the organism in Eukaryota, Metazoa, Arthropoda, Insecta, Hymenoptera, Apidae.